GUGACUUGGAAGUGAGUCCAGGCACAGCGUGUCUUGGCUUGGCACUGCGAGCACCACUGCCAGAGC
Molecule: microRNA precursor, 66 nt
Filed under: Dipodomys ordii (Ord's kangaroo rat)
Lineage: Eukaryota; Metazoa; Chordata; Mammalia; Rodentia; Heteromyidae
Description: miRNA (ENSDORG00000029749.1)
Source: RNAcentral